GAUGAACGCUGGCGGCGUGCCUAAUACAUGCCAGUCGAGCGAACGGACGAGAAGCUUGCUUCUCUGAUGUUAGCGGCGGACGGGUGAGUAACACGUGGAUAACCUACCUAUAAGACUGGGAUAACUUCGGGAAACCGUAGCUAAUACCGGAUAAUAUUUUGAACCGAAUGGUUCAAAAGUGAAAGACGGUCUUGCUGUCACUUAUAGAUGGAUCCGCGCUGCAUUAGCUAGUUGGUAAGGUAACGGCUUACCAAGGCAACGAUGCAUAGCCGACCUGAGAGGGUGAUCGGCCACACUGGAACUGAGACACGGUCCAGACUCCUACGGGAGGCAGCAGUAGGGAAUCUUCCGCAAUGGGCGAAAGCCUGACGGAGCAACGCCGCGUGAGUGAUGAAGGUCUUCGGAUCGUAAAACUCUGUUAUUAGGGAAGAACAUAUGUGUAAGUAACUGUGCACAUCUUGACGGUACCUAAUCAGAAAGCCACGGCUAACUACGUG
RNAcentral lists this ribosomal RNA (497 nucleotides) under uncultured bacterium. RNAcentral describes it as "partial 16S ribosomal RNA". It matches the Rfam family "Bacterial small subunit ribosomal RNA", at positions 28 to 507 of the family's 1533-position model. The record is from RNAcentral.